UCUCUUUUUCUAUUGGAAAAUUGUUUUUCGGUUAGGUUUUCCCUUUGCUCUUCUCCAUCUGCUGCUUACGUCGAUUCGAGAUAAAAUUCCUUCAAAGGAUUAAGAGCUACUGUGGAUUUCAUCUCUAUUUCUGUUGGAAAAUUGUUUUUUGCUAGGCAUGGAUGAGGAAGGUCCAGUUGUUAAUGUGAACCAGAGUAAUGAGGAGAGAAUCAGGCAGAAGAAAAAGGAUAAGAAAAAAAGUGCCAAAAGCGAAGUAGAGGGUUAUAAUGUUGAUACUGUGAAAGCAGCUCCAACAUCUGAGAAUCAAUGUAUUGCUGAACUGAACAAGGAUCAUAAAGGGGGCAAAGAAAAGAAGAAGAAGGAGAAGAAAAACAAGGGAGCCGAUGAUGCUAAGGCUGUCAUGAAGAGUGGUUCUAGAAAAAGUGAAUUAAAUGUAGUAUCUGGUGAGAAUGGUGGUGGAUUAAUGAUUGAUAAAGCUAAAAGGGACGGGGAGAGUUCCAGUGGAUUAGCACUGGAUAAUGCUGAAAGGAAGAGAAAACAAAGAGAGAAGAAGGACAAGAAUGAGAUUGUUGAGACACAUGAUACUGGCGAAGUAAAGAGGGGUGCGAGUAUCAAUUGGCAAGAGGGAGAAAAUGCAUCGGGAGAAGUGAGCGGCCAAGAAGUUAUGAAAGAGAAGAAGAAGCAGAAAGUGAAGAGAAACGACGGUAAGGUGGGAGAGAAAGAUGGAGAUGUGAUCCGAGGGGAUAGUGAGAAUUGCAUGGUCAAUGCCGCGGAGAUUAGGAAGGAAAAGAAGGGCAAGAAAAAGAAGAAGAAUGACUGUUUUGUCAUGUCAAGAGACACUCAUACUGACAAUAAAUCUGGUAAAGUUGGUUUAUCUUUAAAAAGGCAGGAAAAUGUGUUGUAUGAUGUUGAAGAUCAUACUCAAUCAAUAAAUGAAGAUGUUGCUACCAAGAAUAAUCAUGAAAGGAAGAAAAAAAAGAAGCACAAAAAGAAAGAACACUACAAAGAUGAUCUGCCUCCUAUUCAGCAAGAGCAUGUAGAUAGUGACACCAACAGUAUUCUGAAUACACUAGAAACACAAAAAAAAGAAGCAGAGCUUACCAACAAAAGGAAGAAAAAGAAGUCCAAACUUUCCGAAAAUGGUUCUACUGAUGAACGAGACAAUGAAGAUGGAUAUGCAAAGAAAGGGAAAAAGAGAAAGUCCAGUUUGGUGGUGAAAGGUUCAGAUGAUACUUUACCUAGCAAAAGUAAUAAGAAAGUCCGAUUUUCUGAUCAAGAUGAGGUAUUUCCUCUCCCUCCUGAAUCAAAUACUGAGGAGGGUGGAAAGAAGGACAAUCUGGUAAGAGCCAAGCGGUUCACACCUGAAGAAGAUGAGAUUGUGAAAGGUUCUGUUAUGAAGUACAUAGAGGAUCACGAGUUAGGUGAUGAAGGUGUGAACAUGAUCUUAAACUCUAGCAAGCACCCUGAACUGAAAGGUUGCUGGAAAGAAAUAGCGUCUUCCAUUCCAUACAGACCAUAUAAUGCUAUUUAUUAUCGUGCUCGGAUUUUAUUUAUGAGGUCUGAGAGCCGGAAAUGGACUCAAGAAGAGUAUGACAUGGUUUUGAAAUACCAGGAAGAGCAUGGUAACAAGUGGAGGGCCUUGGCAGAUGAACUUGGUAAACAUACAUGGCAUGUGAAGGAUACUUGGCGCAGGAUAAAGUUACGUGACAGGAAGAAAGGAAAUUGGUCACAAGAAGAGUAUCAGAGAUUAUUCGAUCUGGUGAAUACUGAUCUGCAAUUGAAACUUUCUGAAGAGAAGAGGUCCAAGCAUGGAAUGUUGCGGGACAAUAUUGCUUGGACUGCAAUUAGUGAUGAGUUAUCCACUCGAGCACAAGCGGCUUGCUGUUUAAAGUGGUACAAUCAAUUAACAUCACCUAUGGUAGCUCAAGGUGUAUGGGCUGAUUCAGAUGACUAUCGUCUGCUAAGUGCACUUUAUAGCCUGGAUGCAACUUGCAUGGAAGAUGUCGGAUGGGAUGAUCUUAUUGAUACCAGAGAUGGAGAUUUAUGUCGAAAGCGUUGGAACCAGAUGGUUCUACAUCUAGGUCACAUUGGAAAUAAAUCAUUUGCUGAACAAGUUGAAGUAUUGGCUCAAAGAUACUGCCCACAUCUUCUUGAAGCAAGAGAAACCUGGGAUAGCAAACCACGGGUUCCCUGAUCUUCCCUUCUGUAUCUGUGGAGUUUGAAGCCUGAUGUCAGAAGAAAAUCACCUCUGAAGGUACAAGCCUUAUGAGGAAAAUGGCAGCAUGCUUUCAACCAUUCAGGACUUCCAGGCUGGUGGAUUCUUGAGCUUUCCAGACUGGAAAGGUUCGUCAAUGGUAACUAAAACAACUUCUGAAUUCAAUUCAAAGCCU
Molecule: non-coding RNA, 2390 nt
Organism: Salvia hispanica
Lineage: Eukaryota; Viridiplantae; Streptophyta; Magnoliopsida; Lamiales; Lamiaceae
Source: RefSeq, a predicted model, not a curated record